AUACUUUUUAACUUUUGUGAAUUUUAUUAUUUGAACAAUAGUACUAGAUGAAAUUCAGCACUAUAAUGCCUACAAUAUAAAGGUGAUUUUUGAGAAUUACAUUAUUCCCACAUAUUUUGUUUAUUGAUGUUGUGCUGCAAGUUACUUUAUAAUAGUACCAUGCAAUUCACUUGCACAGAUUACACAAUUUGAAAAAUGGCAAUAAGCAUUUUGAAACCAGACUGCCACCAAAAUUUCAAAAGCUGUCAGUGGGGUGUGGAGGAGGGGCAUGCCCCAAGGCUUGCACUUAACCAACAUUCACAUGCACGGUCCUGGGCAGAACCCUGAUUAGGUGUUGGUGUGCAUUGCAAUUCACAGCAAGACGUUUCUGUACUUUGAAAAAUAUUUUACGACAGUGUGGGCAUGUGGCCAUUGUAAUCCUCGCAUAGUAGGUGAUUUUGGGGCACGAAAGUCUGUCAAAACGCAACAUUGAAUUAAUUGGCUGUCGGCCUGUAAAUCACUUUUCAUAUUUCAUUUAAUGUUCUGAACAAUAUUACCCUGGAUUCCAGAGCCUUCGACAGUAAAUAAUAAAUUGAAAUGUCGCGAAGGCUCUGGUUCAACGGGGCGAUUCUUUGAUUAAACCGCGCCAAACACAAAACAGAAUUAGUGGUUUUAGUACAGAAUCCAGUGUAGAACAAUAUGUGAAAAUUGCAGAAUUUACGUGAAAUGCAUCGGGAGAAAAGCUUGGUUGCUAAAUGUCACCCCUCUCAACUUCAAAAUACAAACAUUUCUGAAGCUGAAGCAGAAAUGUGUUGGACUUUCAUGGUUGCCCAUGUUGUUUCCCAAUUACAUACUCUGUCUUGAAGGUAUCCAUUUUUCGUCGUAUGGAAUUGAAAAUGAACAAGAUGGCUAAAUUUCUGCAUGUCGAAUCUUCUCCAGAACGCAGGAACAUGAUGUUAUUAUUUCAGAAACUAUAGAUAUUGAAAUUUUUCAGGGAAGCACAUGCCAACUAAAACAUCCCACCACCUAUUGUAUAAUGGCCAUGUUGCCCCUUUCCAUUACAAUUUUGAUAUUACGAUCAAACAACCUUCAUACAAUAUUACAGUUACUCCAUGUGAACGUGUGCAUAUAGUGAGGGUUCAGAGCAAGUGCCUUUCACCUGUGGCGGACACUUCACGAAAUAUUGGGGGGGGGGGGUCAACAUGCAUGUCAAAUGGGGUUUCGGUGUCCGUUUAAGGCUCUAAAUUAUGCGAAUCGUUCAGAACAUAGAUCACUUGAUGAAAUGAAUAAAGAGUACCGAGUUAUGCCAUUUGACUGACAUUAGAUACUUUUUCUAAGAUAAUUAAUUAUGUCCAUUAGUGUUGUUUAAUGUACAGUCAUAACUAUCAAUUCUAUAAAUGGUUUAAAUAUUUUUAUCAGUAGAGCUGCAAGGAAUCCUGCACAGAACAAAACAGAUUGUAUAAAAUGCGUAUGUUGCGGCAUCAUUGGCAAUCAUUGCACAGUAUCAUAUGCUUGCUAUAUGGCUAACUUAAUUAGCUUAAGUUUUAUUUAAUAGUCGUUAUUUAUAAUAUGACAAUUACGUUAUAUGGGUAUAAAUUGUAUGCUUGCCACUUGCUCCUAAACAAUGCUUGUGAAUUGUGAUAUUUGGUACCAGACUUUAAUAAGAGAUCGUUGGUUCGUUAAUUCUCUCGUUGCCCACUCAUGUGAAAAGAGUCAGUCAUUAACGCUUUGCCGAAAGUAGUGCACGUGGGCUUUCUCCGUGUACUCUUAUGUCUUCCCACAGGGAAAGUUGACAGGGCCCGGGUUAUGAUAAGCUUAGUAGGUAUAGUCAAGAAAGUAAGAUCACAAUUGUUGUAAAGAUAAAAUAGUCUAGGUUAAGUAUAUAAUUAGAUUAGCGCGUAAU
Molecule: long non-coding RNA, 1882 nt
Filed under: Paramuricea clavata
Lineage: Eukaryota; Metazoa; Cnidaria; Anthozoa; Malacalcyonacea; Plexauridae
Source: RNAcentral